Non-coding RNA from Coturnix japonica (Japanese quail), 7107 nucleotides. The record is from RefSeq and is a predicted model, not a curated record. Lineage: Eukaryota; Metazoa; Chordata; Aves; Galliformes; Phasianidae.
GAUGUUGUCAUCACUGUCUGCAAAUAAGAAAGAUGAAAAUAAUUUCAGAUGUUCUUGGCGUCCCCCAAAAUGCCUUUAUUAACCUUCUUUUCUUCUCAACUCUUGUGUAAUUGAAAGCCCUCCCUUAGCUGAAGGCAAAGGAGGAAAAUUAAGCAAUGGCUAACCUUUUUGUGAAGAAAAUUGGGAUGUACCAUCUCUUGUAUUUUUCUAUAAAUAGGGCAUUACUUUCCUGAAUCAAUUCACUGCAGGGUAAUAGCCCGCAAUUUACGUACAAUGGCAAAAUAGAUGGCAAUUAGCAAUAAGUAACUCAUGUAUUAUACAACAGCCCCAUUAAAGAGAGCCACCCAUAUCGGCUCACCCAGUAGGACAUUGAAACAAUAUUUCAGCAAACCAGAAGAACUUUGCACUACAGAACAAGCCUUGCACAGCCUGGCCAUGCUGCCCAAUCUGUCCUGCAGGGCUCAUCCUUGUGUGGCACCUUCCACAGCUGUGACAUCCUGGUGAGGAGCAGUCAGGGAGGUGAAUCCUUCACCCCAGCAGCCAUGCACUGGCUGCAAAGGCCUGUGGGUUUUCAGCGGGAUGCUCCGGAACAGCCUGUGUUUCCCUGUGCUCCCUGCAGGCAGAGGUCAAGUGGGAGGUUGGUCCCAGGAAUGGUCUCGAACCCACACAAGUGUGGGGUAGUUACUCUCUGUUGCCUCAUUUCAUCUGUGGGAGACUGUGGCAGAUGUCCUGCCAGCAGGACAAGCAGAACCCUCCAGAGACAAAGAGAGUACCCAGCACAGGAAGGGGUGCACAGUGUGUCCUGUGGCCCUUUCUAAAGUAUUUCGAAGUGAUUGCUAUUCUGAGCACAUCCAAUAACAUUUUAAGACACUAAACCUGAUGGUCUUCUUCAAGAAGAAAUACACAGCAUAAAGGACAAAAGGCUUGAGUAUCCUGCAGUAAAGACAUGGCUGGAACCACAAAAGCUUAUAAAAAGUUUUCAAUGAAUGCAGCACUGCCAAGAGAGCCUCAGGAUUUCAAGGUCACUCAAAAACAAAUAAGAAGGGCAAACUUGAAAUAAAAACUUGGUUUUAUGAAGGGGAAAAAGGCUGUGCCCUGUAGCACUUCUUGUUGGAGAGCACUUAGCAUCACAGGCAUGAAUUCUAAUAUGGUUAAUGGGUUACAGUAGGACAGUGACAGUGUGAGUUUAAAAUUCAUUUUCUGCCAGCUGUUGUCCUCAACUGUAGGGUUACAUAGCAGAGCACUUGUUUCUCAGUUCUCUAUUUGUAUUCUUAACUAUUCCAUUUUUCUUAAGCCUUCAUUCCCAGUGGCAACUAGGAGAAAAGUAACUGAGUAUUCAUUGCAGGAAGCUGCUUGUGUUUGAAAAGCUGUUUGAAUGCCUUAUAUGUUACUGUGUGUGUUGACUUCAUAUUGCUCUCCCAUCUUGUCCAGAUGAAGAAGUAUUUUCCCUUAGACUCUUUCCAGGUAUCAGUGGUAUUCUGUGAAUAGACCCACCUGAGCAUCUAUCUUGACCCAGGGAAAAUUAGAGACAUCCCACACAAGACUUAACCAGAUGCUCAGAAACCACUCUAAAAUCAGAGGAAUGUUGCAAUAAUUCCAACACUUUGUCUUUCCAUGUUUUGAGUUACUCACAUCAUGAGGAAGAUUUCUUUGAAGAAAUAUCAAAACACUUUGAUGCCAUAAUCCAAUGCAAAAGAAGAUUCAGUCAAAGAAAAGGUAAUAUUUAAAUGCAUCUCUCAAGCUUUUCCUGUAGUAGGUGCAUUCAAUGGAAUUGCUCUGUACCCCAAGUUUCACUGUUGUCAAUUAAUCUGUUCUUAACCACCAUUCUGUUAGAGAUCCGCCUCACAACCCCAGUGAACAUAACAGCAGACAGAGGUGUCUUGUUGGAAAGGAACAAGGUUACAAAGAGGGAGAUGGACAAGUGCUCUUUGUACUGCCAAGGAGGCAAAUCUUGUAGUCCUGACUUGUGAUGGCAUUCAUUGACUUGAACAGAAAUGACAUCAGGACAAGAGGAGUGGAUGGUUUCUUGUUUCUUUACCUGCUGUGCAUCCACAGUGCUUUUGCCAGAAUGAGGGCUUUCCAAUAUUAGCACUGCAAGGGCAGACAGAAAGGCAUUCUUUUUAGGUAUGCUGUACAUCCUAUAGCAGUUACGGAUUAUUGACCAAAUGUAGCUUAAUGAUCUCUUUCCAUUGGAUUUCAGAAAUAGAAUAUUAGAAGAAUAUAUAAGAAUAUAAAAGGCUGUAGGAAAAAAAUACUUGAAAGCACAAAGGUACACUUUAGUAUCACUGGCAUUUUUUGGUUGUUGUUGUUUUGCUGUUAGAUGUCAAAACUGCACCUGAUUUGUUUGUUUGUUUGUGAAUUUUUCAGCAUUGGAAUGACCACACUGUGAGAUUUUACAGCCAUUUCAGGCAACCUGAGAGAAGGAGUAUAGAGCUAUAAAAGGCUUUUGCAUCUUAGCAUUUUCCUGUGGGAGUAAAGGGUAAAAAGAAACAUUUUCUUGAUGGAUUUCGGUAGCUGCUAUCUUCAGUGUCCAAACUGCCCAUCCUUCCUGAUUGACUCUAUCUGCUAUGGGACAAAGCUUUUAACAAUUUCAAUAUUACCAGUGGCAUCAGAACAAUAAGCAGGCUGUGAGCAAUGUUUCCAGAUGAAUUUUGAAAGUCUUCAUACUGCAGCUUUUGAGAAAGAAUCCAGAAAAAUCCAUCUUCAGUACUAUCAGCCUAAAUUUUUACAUCUUUUUCUGACAACAUUUGUCUAUUGAUGUACUUGAUAUUUUGGGUUUGAAGACUUUGAAACCAACAGUUUUGAGCAGUUCUGCAUAAAUUAUGCAAAUGAGCAGCUUCAGUAUUACUUUAACCAGCAUGUUUUCAAAUUGGGAUGAGCAAGAAAUUAGUGACUGAAACAAAAACUUAUUAAGGGCUCUACUAUGCAAAAUGAUCGAUGAAACGUCAUGGAUUUAUUUUUAUAAAUGUUUGAAUGUAUUUUAAAAACUUUUUUUUCCUCACUUGUUGGGUUUAUAUCAUUUCUUAUGAUAUUGCAGAAGGUUGCAGUUUUGCCAUACUUAGUGCUCUGCACGAACUAAGGACAGCUGGGUCUUUCUUUAAAGAGUUGGCAGUAAGUUUCUAUGCUUCAGAACAGCCACCUCCGUCAGCACCUCACUGUCAUAGAUGUUAGCUGUGAAACUGCCUCUAACUGCAGGAAGAUUCAGGCAUCUUGCCCUCUGCUGCUGUGGAUUGUCCCAUUUACAAGUGAUUUUCUGCUGGACUUUUGUGCAGAAGGCCGAGACUGCAGCUUCUGCUGAACUCUCUCUAAACAUGUACACCAGCGGUGGCAGAGAAGAAUGAUGCUAUUGUAACCACUUAGCAACACUUUAAAGGAACUGGGUCACAAGAGGCAGGUAAGGCACUGUUGUGUGCUCAUUUUGGGACUCAUGCAUAUGGAUGUAUGCACCUAUUCAGUAGAUGCUUGGACUAAUAAAUAGAGAGGAGCCAGCACCCAUCUCUAUCACACACAGGUAAGGCAGAAAUGAACAUGGCAGAUGAAUAAUCCUAUCAGAGUUCAUGAGCUGAGGUACUCAACUGAGCUCACCUCACUGACAUACUGCUUUUCAGCACUUGUCUCCAUUUCCAAAGGCAUGGGGUAUAUAAAUGGUUAAAAACAAAACCAGAACAAAACAUCAAAACCUUAUUAGGGGGAAGGAAUGUGUAGGUGAUGUAAAUAGACAAAAAUAAGUUGUAUGAUCAAAUUGCACUAUUGUGAUGCAAAACUGUAGAGCAGCUUUCUCUCAAAAUAUUUUGCAAACUCAUUGGCAGGGAUCAAGUAUUCUAAUCUUUGUAUCCUUUAUAAGGUUACAGGAAGGACUUCAAGCACUGCAGUAAGAUGAGUGCUAAUGCAUCACUUCAAGUGAACAGUUUCAUAAGCAGAACCUGUUGGAGAGAAGGCACUCAAUACCUGAGACCUGGAUGCACGCACAGGGUAGAGAAUGUGAAAAGAAUACUAAAUAGCUUCCCAGUGACUGCAUGAAUAGGAAUCCUUAUGGACAACAGGAUAUGCUAAUGUAAUUAAAGAAAAUACAUAGGUACUAAAGCCCAAAUCAUAAAUUACAAGCAGGCCUAUUAAGUCACUGACUUUACAACCUUAUUAAAUAGUGCUCUUCAGAAAAGUUACAACAGAGCUGCAUUACUUUAAGAUUUGCAGUCUGAGCCAAAUUAGAAUGUUCUGAGUGUUAGCCUAUUUUCUUCCAAAACAUCAUAACUAAGUGGGAAAAAGCCUUCUGACUGUCACAUCAUCCCUAGCUAUGGCUAAGCCAGAUUUUGUUAUUCUCACACCUGUUCUUGCCCAGGAAGUCCUGCAUGGGUUUGUUACUGAUGGCCUUGUAAUCUCGGAGUUAUUAAUGUUAUCACUAUUAUAAUUAGUGCUUAAUGCACGAGAUGUCAUACUGUUUGGCAGUGCAUGAGGCUUCUGUACUUGAUACCAUGAGGCUUCUCUGUAUGUUUCACCUCUUAUGUAUCCUAAAUCUCUGUAAAGCAGAGUCACUGAGCAGGGAGGGCAGACCUUGCUCUCCCUGCUCCCACCUCCCUGACACCUACAGGGAAUAGCAGCUCAAGAGCAGCCUCAAGCUCCAUCUUUCUGACCCAUCAAAUUGCUUCCUUUCCCUCCUACUCUUGCAAUGCAGCCCCCUAGAGGGGUUUCAUUCUCAAUAGACACCUACCUAGGACUGCUAAAAUGCUUUGUGGCUUUUGUAUCACUAUGGUUUGCCAACAAUAUGAAUUUAUUUCAAGCAGCCUUUUUCAGUAAAUAGCAGACUGAAAGAAUUCCAUAGCCUGCUGCUAUAACUUUCCUGCUGUUUCUGUCUUGUUCUGAAGUAAAUCUUCUCUCUUUCUGGUUCAGAAAAGCAACAUGACAGUUCCUAAUUCCUUCUCAUGACAAUGACAUCCUGAUAUUACUGAUAUUACUGAUAUUAUUGUUGUUUGGGUUUUUUUUCCCACUUUGAGGUGGACUAGCAAAAGAGGCUGGAGAUCUACUUAGAUAGCAGCUUUAAAUUUUGCUGCAAUUUGUUUGUUCAAGCUGGCUGGGUAAUUCAGCUUGUUGUUGACCUAGUUCCAGUUGUAAAAGAUCAGACUAUUUGUUCUCACAGAAGUGUUAUACUUUGACCCCUAAAAUAAUUAGACUUUUUAAAAAUAUUUGCCAUAGAUUAUUAAUAAAUGUUAUAAUGCUUUGCUAACUGAGUUCCUUGUUUCAUAAGAAAAUAUUUUGUUUGCGCAUAGCCUUGAUGGUGAGUCUUUUUAAUUGUAAGGCGUAAGUGCUACAGGGAAGGGUAACACUGAAAUUCAGCAGUGAACUAGAUUUUGAUCAGCAUGGCACAUGACAUUGUUGUCACAGAUGCUGUGGCUUCAUUGCACGUUUCUUUCCCUCCAGCAAUAAUGAGGCAAAUGCAUUCACUGUAAUUAGAGAUUUGAAACCUGUGUUAUGUAAUUGGUUCUGCUACACUGAGCAGAAUGAGUGUCCUUUUUAAAAAGUAGAAGAAGACAGAAAAACAAGUUAACGGAGCCAUCCAUGUAGUCUCCUGCCUGUCCUUCCAUCCCCUCCAAGUGCCUGAUUCUUGCUCACUUGCUCACACUUCAGCAAUCCUGAGAGGAGCAAUCAGUUGCCGCAAAGUUUCUCAAAGCAGUUCACUUGACUUCUAGCAGGUUUCUGGGGAGGACCUGGAUCCAGCCUACCAUGAUUAAGAGCUGUGAGGGAGAUGGCUGUGACUUUUCUGGUUCCACCUAUUGUGGGAAUUCACCCAGGCUCCAUCAAUGUGUGACUAAUUUCCUGGACAGGCAUGUAUUGCAAAAGAGUCCAUGGAGACCUUUGUGCCUUCCCUACCCAGCAGAGCCUGCGGCCCUUCUGCCUGACUGCCAAGGGAGCCACGGGGAUGUGGGGAGAGGCAGCUGGAUUGCCAGGGGAGCUGGAUCAGCUUUGAGAAAGCAAGUGGACCCAGGGGAGUGGGAGGGAAUAAAGUAGAAAAUGCUGUAGAUGCAGCUUUUGGAUUCAAACGAGAGAGUUGCUCUUUGUGGGCUUUAUUUGUAAGGGUUGUCAGAGAUAUCCUUUUUGCCACCCAGAAUGCUGCUAAGCAAUUACAAAACAUUAGCUGCGAUUUCAGACAUUUACGCAAUCAGCUGUUUCUGGGACACUGGUGAUCAGAGCUGUAGGCUUCUGCUAUGUGUUGUAUUUUCAGCACUCUGUGCUUUAUCCCAGGCCAGAAAGUAUUUCUGAAGUCUCAAUUAAUGGAUGUAUACUCUUACUAGAAUCUGACUUUAUUUUUAUUUUAUGAAAAAUGUUCUAUCCUUUGGAACCGGGACAGAAACAUGUGCCACACACAUAGGAGUAUGACAUAGUUAUUUGCAACUAAAAUGUUGAACUUCCAAUAUCUGGAGGUAGUUACACAGAAUCAAAAUGAAUUCUUGGUGAUUUGCUGCCACAUCAAAGUGAGGAAUUGCCUUCUCCCUUUAUGUCCAUCAGCAGUGUGAUGUAGAAUAUGGGUAAUAGUUUGAGGGUGUGCGGUGAUGUUCCAUCUCUAAAUGUGGCACUCCCUGGUGCAACAGAGAGAAUUCAAAGAGAAAGCAAAUCAGAAGAGAACACGAGUGGAGGAUGGGGCAAGAAGGAGUGACAUCUGGGCACUGCUGGAUAGCUUCCAGGAUCUGGAGUAAGAUGGAGUGAAAAGCUCGGGAUGAUCUGGUUUAAGCAAGAGGCCAGCUUCAAAAGCCGUGCCUUCUCAGUGUGCUUAGGCUAAUUGCAUGGACAUUCAUCUUCUUAUUUUUGGCAGAAAUCAUUGUUUCCACAGUCCUUCCUUCCCUCAUCUCUGCUGCCUCUCCAAGAGAGAGAACAACGUAUGCAUAUGGGUUGAUGCUCUGAGAGGGAUGAGUACUGAGAAAGACCAAAGAAAACUAACCGUAAUCUCAAAGGCCACUGAUAAGGAGCAAAACAAAUUUAAGUUUUAAACAGACUUAAGCAUUUCAAAACCAGAUGAGUAUUCUGAUUUGUUUUACUGUAAAAACAAAUGUUGACCUCUGCAUAGUAAGUUUUUCCUGGACUUCUGCUUCCAAAAUAAAACAUUUCAUUCAUUUU